UACGUAGGGUGCGAGCGUUAAUCGGAAUUACUGGGCGUAAAGCGUGCGCAGGCGGUUAUGUAAGACAGAUGUGAAAUCCCCGGGCUCAACCUGGGAACUGCAUUUGUGACUGCAUCGCUGGAGUGCGGCAGAGGGGGAUGGAAUUCCGCGUGUAGCAGUGAAAUGCGUAGAUAUGCGGAGGAACACCGAUGGCGAAGGCAAUCCCGUGGGCCUGCACUGACGCUCAUGCACGAAAGCGUGGGGAGCAAACAGG
RNAcentral lists this ribosomal RNA (253 nucleotides) under uncultured bacterium. RNAcentral's name for it is "partial 16S ribosomal RNA". It matches the Rfam family "Bacterial small subunit ribosomal RNA", at positions 524 to 776 of the family's 1533-position model. The record is from RNAcentral.